AUUUAUGUAGUUUAAUAAAAACAUUACAUUUUCACUGUAAAAAUAAAUAAAAUUUCAUAAAUC
This 63-nucleotide transfer RNA is filed under the name Blattodea sp. MT-2014. RNAcentral's name for it is "tRNA-Glu". It matches the Rfam family "tRNA". Rfam says of the family: Transfer RNA (tRNA) molecules are approximately 80 nucleotides in length. Their secondary structure includes four short double-helical elements and three loops (D, anti-codon, and T loops). Further hydrogen bonds mediate the characteristic L-shaped molecular structure. tRNAs have two regions of fundamental functional importance: the anti-codon, which is responsible for specific mRNA codon recognition, and the 3' end, to which the tRNAs corresponding amino acid is attached (by aminoacyl-tRNA synthetases). tRNAs cope with the degeneracy of the genetic code in two manners: having more than one tRNA (with a specific anti-codon) for a particular amino acid; and 'wobble' base-pairing, i.e. permitting non-standard base-pairing at the 3rd anti-codon position. Lineage: Eukaryota; Metazoa; Arthropoda; Insecta; Blattodea. The record is from RNAcentral.